UGGCUAUUUUAGGAGACCAGGGCAAGUGCAACACCAGCAACGGGCAAGAAGGCAAGAGAUGUUGCAGAGAGGCGAUGGUGGUGCAUCCCUCUGCGCUUGUCGCUGAGGGAGUUCCCACCAUCGCGACCCGGCCACAUCUCUUACGAAACGACACCAGAAAUGGCGAUGAGACAAGCGAGAGGCGUCGUAAAGACGCGGUGGUGGUGCAUGCCUGCGCGGCUCCGAAGAUGUUGCUGGAGGGUGCACUACCACCGCGUCCUUGCCACGGCUCUCAGCAGGGUGCAACAAAUCCAAAAAGAAUGGGAAGCUAAAUAUCUCAUUUUGGGUCCUUGGUUUUUCCCUUCAGUAACACUGGUUUGUUAGGGUAACCUCGGUCCCUGUGUUGCCGGAGCGUAGGAAGGACGCUUGCGGGGUGAGGACGCCCCCCACACGUGGCUCGCGGGUCCGUCCCGAAGGCGUGCGCGCUGGGGUAGUUAUCCCGCAGGCGGAGUGACUAGCCACUGCUGUUUGGUCCUAAGUCGGCACCGCGGGUCCGACCCGGGUCCCUAGUCUGGCCAAACAAGUAGUUGGCAAGUCCCCGGCUACGCAAGGCUAAAACACGAGAAGGACAGAGGCCCUCCUCGGCAAGCUAGUCUUAGGCAAAGAAGUAAGUAAAAAUAGCAUCGGAUAUAUAUUGAAGCUUGAGCAAAACGAGUUAACGAGUAACACUGAUAAUGACAAGGGAAAGCUAACAUAAAAAAAAAGGGUUCUAAGGCGCCACGCGCCACUUGCAGGAAACUAAAAAAAAAGAGAAGGAAGGAAACUACGCGGGAGGUGCUCCCGGGGCGGCUGCGUCGGUGUCAGGGGCAUCCUCAGCAUCGGGGGCUUCUCCAGCAACCUCCUCAGCAGCGGCUUCGUCUUCGUCGACCUUGCCCUGCAUCCGUGCCACCAUCUCGUCCACGACGCCCUGCACCGCCUCCCGGUGGGUCUUGGCCUCUUCCUCAUCCGACCAGGCGUCGAAGACCGACUCGAACGGGAAGUCGGGGUGGGCGGAGUGGACCCGGGUGAGAAUCUGCCCGACAACCUGCUCGGCCGCAAGGCCAACUUGCCAGUCCCC
This 1096-nucleotide long non-coding RNA is filed under the name Brachypodium distachyon (stiff brome). Its description in RNAcentral is "long non-coding RNA (BDIS_LNC002029)". The record is from RNAcentral. Lineage: Eukaryota; Viridiplantae; Streptophyta; Magnoliopsida; Poales; Poaceae.